UGAUCGCGACCUCAGCUCAGGCGGGGCUACCCGCUGAGUUUAAGCAU
This 47-nucleotide ribosomal RNA is filed under the name Bikinia sp. MDLE-2018. RNAcentral's name for it is "partial 26S ribosomal RNA". Lineage: Eukaryota; Viridiplantae; Streptophyta; Magnoliopsida; Fabales; Fabaceae. The record is from RNAcentral.